This 519-nucleotide ribosomal RNA is filed under the name uncultured eukaryote. RNAcentral describes it as "SSU rRNA". It matches the Rfam family "Eukaryotic small subunit ribosomal RNA", at positions 1161 to 1699 of the family's 1831-position model. The record is from RNAcentral.
AGGGCACCACCAGGAGUGGAGCCUGCGGCUUAAUUUGACUCAACACGGGAAAACUCACCCGGCCCGGACACUGGAAGGAUUGACAGAUUGAGAGCUCUUUCUUGAUUCAGUGGGUGGUGGUGCAUGGCCGUUCUUAGUUGGUGGAGUGAUUUGUCUGGUUAAUUCCGAUAACGAACGAGACUCUAGCCUACUAAAUAGAUCGUCGGCUUACAAACGCCGGCGAGACUUCUUAGAGGGACAGGCGGUGAUUCAACCGCUCGAAACAGAGCAAUAACAGGUCUGUGAUGCCCUUAGAUGUCCGGGGCCGCACGCGCGCUACACUGAAGUGAUCAGCGUGCUUUUUCAACCUACUCUGUCAAGAGUGGGGAACCCAAUGAACCUUCUUCGUGAUUGGGAUAGGGGAUUGUAAUUAUUCCCCUUGAACGAGGAAUUCCCAGUAAGCGCGAGUCAUAAGCUCGCGUUGAUUACGUCCCUGCCCUUUGUACACACCGCCCGUCGCUACUACCGAUUGUAUGUUUU